GACGAACGCUGGCGGCGUGCUUAACACAUGCAAGUCGUACGGUAAGGCCCUUUCGGGGGUCCACGAGUGGCGGACGGGUGCGUAACACGUGAGUAACCUGCCCACAACUUUGGGAUAACGCUAGGAAACUGGUGCUAAUACUGGAUAUGUGCUCCUGCUGCAUGGUGGGGGUUGGAAAGCUCCGGCGGUUGUGGAUGGACUCGCGGCCUAUCAGCUUGUUGGUGGGGUAGUGGCCUACCAAGGCGGCGACGGGUAGCCGGCCUGCGGGGGUGACCGGCCACACUGGGACUGAGGGACGGCCCAGACGCCGACGGGAGGCAGCAGGGGGGAAGAUUGCACAAGGGGCGCAAGCCUGAUGCAGCAACGCCGCGUGCGGGAUGACGGCCUUCGGGGUGGAAAACGGUUUCAGCAGGGACGAAGCUUUUUGUGACGGUACCUGCAGAAGAAGCACCGGCUAACUACGUG
RNAcentral lists this ribosomal RNA (465 nucleotides) under uncultured bacterium. RNAcentral describes it as "partial 16S ribosomal RNA". It matches the Rfam family "Bacterial small subunit ribosomal RNA", at positions 28 to 507 of the family's 1533-position model. The record is from RNAcentral.